CCUACGGGUGGCUGCAGUGAGGAAUAUUGGUCAAUGGGCGCUAGCCUGAACCAGCCAAGUAGCGUGAAGGAUGACUGCCCUAUGGGUUGUAAACUUCUUUUAUAAAGGAAUAAAGUGAGGCACGUAUACCUUUUUGCAUGUACUUUAUGAAUAAGGAUCGGCUAACUCCGUGCCAGCAGCCGCGGUAAUACGGAGGAUCCGAGCGUUAUCCGGAUUUAUUGGGUUUAAAGGGUGCGUAGGCGGGUUGUUAAGUCAGUUGUGAAAGUUUGCGGCUCAACCGUAAAAUUGCAGUUGAAACUGGCAGCCUUGAGUACAGUAGAGGUAGGCGGAAUUCGUGGUGUAGCGGUGAAAUGCUUAGAUAUCACGAAGAACUCAGAUUGCGAAGGCAGCCUGCUAAACUGUGACUGACGCUGAUGCUCGAAAGUGUGGGUAUCAAACAGGAUUAGAUACCCUGGUAGUC
RNAcentral lists this ribosomal RNA (460 nucleotides) under uncultured bacterium. RNAcentral's name for it is "partial 16S ribosomal RNA". It matches the Rfam family "Bacterial small subunit ribosomal RNA", at positions 338 to 795 of the family's 1533-position model. The record is from RNAcentral.